Long non-coding RNA from Xenopus tropicalis (tropical clawed frog), 4544 nucleotides. RefSeq lists it as uncharacterized. The transcript has 3 exons. The record is from RefSeq and is a predicted model, not a curated record. NCBI's taxonomy places the organism in Eukaryota, Metazoa, Chordata, Amphibia, Anura, Pipidae.
UAAAUGUCAGUGUGGUACUUUAGACUUGGCAGGUUACUUGGGUAGCUGUUUUCUUUGGAUGGUAUCAAUGGAUUGGCCCAAGUCACUGUGGUGGUGCUAUCCUUCAGCUAGAGCGUCUUUGUUUUGCAGGUUUGUCCCCAGUGUAAGAAAGUCUAGUAUCCGAUGUGCAUGAGUUAAGAGAAUCUUCAGACUUUUCAUGUAUCUAUUCUAGGUUUUUGUGAUUUGGCAAAUGCCGCUGUGAAACUUCAGCCUUGGCAUGUUACUUGGGAUCCUGUUUUCUUUGGUACAUAUCAAUGGAUGAACCAAUUCACUAUGGCGUGAUCUUCAACUACGGCAUCUUUUUUUUUUUUUGUUGGUUGAGUGUAAAUAUUCUAGCAGCAGAUGCAUGUUACCUUGGAGUGCUGGAGCCUGUGAUCAGUAUGCGAUUAGAGGAAUAGAGAAUUUUUAUUUUUACAGGUUAUCUUGGCUUGGAAAACUACUGGCAUCUCUGGUACUCCAGCCUUGGCAGGUUACUUGGGAUCCUACUUUUGGUAGGUGUGAGUGGAUGUACAAUUUCACUACAGUGUUGUAAUUCUCAAGUCAGGGCAUGUUUAUUUUUUGGCUUUGGUGUAUGUAGUCUAGCAGCAGAUGAAAGUAGCCUUGAACUGCUGGAACCUGUAACUGGUAUGUGAGUAGAGAAAUAGAUGAGAAUGGAAAAAAAAUAUUCAGCAUCUUCAUUUAUUUAUUUUAACAGGUUUCUAAAAUUUUACAAAUCUCAACGUGAUACUUCAGCCUUUUUACUUAAGACCCCAAUGUAGAUAUUGGACUGCUGGGGCCUGUGAUUGGUGUGUAAGUAAAGGGAUUGAUGUGCAUUAAAUUAGAUUCUUCAGCCAUUUCAGGUAUCUUAUAGGUUUUUGCAGUUUGGCAAAUAUUGCUGUGAUCAGCCUUGUCAUCAUACAUGGGAUCCUAUUUCCAGUGAUAGGUAGGAGUAGAUGGAGGAAUUUAUCUUGGUGUUCGUUCUUCAGCAAGAGCAUCUUCGUUUUUACAGGUUGUGUCUGAAGUCUAUCAGCAGAUGCAAGUAACCUUGGACAGCUGGAGCUUAUGAUUGAUAUGUGAGUAGAGGGAUAUAUGUGCAGAAAUACAAAUCUUCAGACUGGUGUCGAUUUUGUUUUUACAGGCUUUUGGUUUGAAUAACUUCCUGGUCCUGUAGUACUUCAGCCUUGGCAUUUUACUUGAGAUCCUAUUUCUUUUGAUGAUGGGGUAAUUUUGGUCUUGUAAUUCUUUAGACAGGGCAUCUUUGUUUUUUACAGGUUUUCUCUGUUUGGCAAAUGUGGCUGUCAUACUUUCAGCUUUGGCAGGAUACUUGGGACCCUUAUUGAUUUGGAAGGUAUCAGUGGGUGAACCAAUUCACUAUAGUGGUUUUCUUCUUUGUCCUAGGCAUCUCUCGUUUGCAGGUUGGUUGAGUGUAGAAAGUCUACUAGCAGAUUCAGUUCAUCUUUAAAUGCUGGUGCCUGUGAUCAGUAUUUGAGUAGAGGAAUAGAGUUGCAGGAAUUAAGAGAUUCUUCAGCCUUUUCAUUUAUCUAUUUUUACAGGUUUUUAAAAUUUGGCAAAUGUCACUUUGAUCCUUCAGACUUGGCAUCUUACAUGGGAUACUAUUUCCUUUGGUAUGUACAGUAUGCGUGAAUGGAAUCCUUUAUUUUGGUGUAGUCAUUCUUCAGCCAGGGGUAUAUUUGCUUUUACAGGUUGGGUUUUGGUUUAGGAAGUCUAGAAGCAGAUGCAGGUAACAACAUUGAACUGCUGGAGCCUGUGACCCAUAUGUGAAUAAAGGAAUUGAUGUGCAUGCACAAGGAGAGUGAUAGAUCAGCCUUUUCAUUGAUUUAUUUUUACAGGUCAUCCUCCUGCCUCUGGGAAACGUCUGACCACUGCUACUUUGGCCUUGGCAGGUUACUUUGGAUCCUAUUUCCUUUGGUAGGUAUGAGCAUAUGGAGUGAUUUAUUUUGGCGUUGUCAUUCUUCAGCCAGGUCCUCUUUGUUUUUACAGGUUGUGCUUUAGUGUAGGACGUCUAGCUGCAGAUGCAGGAAUCAUUCAACUUCUGGAGCUUUUGAUCGGUAUGUGAGUAGAGGAAUAUGUGAAUGGACAAAGUCUAGCAGCACAUGCAUGUAAUCUUGGACUGCUGGAGCUUGUAACUGGUAUGUAUGUAAAUAGGAGCAGAUGAGAUUUUGACAAGAUUGUUGUUGAGAUGUUUGCAAUAUGUCAUUACAGGUUAUCUUUGGAAAACUACUGGCAUCUGUGCUACUUCAGCUUUGGCAGGUUACUUGGGAUCCUACUUUCAGUAAGUAUGAAUGGAUUUACAAAAUCACUUUUGUGUUGCCAUUCUGCAUCUAGGACAUCUUUGCUUUUUACAGGUUGGGCUUUGGUGUAGGAAGUCUAGCAGCAGAUACAUGUAACUUUGGAGAACUGAAGCUUAUGAUCGAUAUGUGCACAGAUAAAAGAUUCUUCAGACCAGUAUAAAUUUUUAUUUUGUGGGAAACUUCCUGCUCCUGUGGUUUCCCUGGUUUGACUUCAACUUUGGUAACUUACUUUGGGUCCUUUUUAAUUUGGUAGGCAUCAAUGGAGAGCCCUAUUCACUAUGCUGGUGAUCAUCUUCAGCCCAGGUUUUCCUGAUUUUGCAAAUGUCCCUGUGGUACAUCAGACAUGGCAGGUUAAUUUGGAUGCUGUUUUCUGACCGGUAUGAGUCAAUGGACAAAUUCAUGAUGUUGUUGUUCAGGCCCAGUAUUUUUGUAUUACAGAUUGAAUCUCAAUUUUGUUACAUUAGUGGGGGGUGCUGAUGCUUUUGAUGCAGUGUAAGAGAAGAGAGAGAUUUCUGUGCACACAAGUGUGUGCUUCUUAAGCCAUUACUUCCUUGAGUUCUUUUGAAUAUUCAGUCUGGGGUUCUUGUUUUGUAGUUUUGGACUUUUGCUUGGGAAAACCAUACAGGAAACUUGUGCCUUGUAAGUGGGGGUUUGUGCUUAUUUAUGCUUAGCUUACUCUUGACUGAGUGUGCAAUUUUAAGUAAACAAGCCUGCUGAACUCAACUGCAAGUAAUAGUUUAACAAAGCAGGACCUUCAGCCUUGAAUAAGAAUACUGAUGUUUGAUAUAGAGGUUUUGGGUGAAGGGGAGGGUUUUAGUGUGUACUGCUUUAGUCUCCCUGUUUUUCACCUUGAUGGCUGAUUUGCCAAUUAUCCUUCUAAGGAGCUCCUAGGAAUACCUGUUUUUGGAAUUCCUGUGCAGCUUGCAAGUACGAAUGGGUUUGUAUCAAUAUGAUGCUACGUUUUGGGUUUACCCUGGUUUGGGAAAGCUUUAGUCAUGGACUAGUCUUAGCCUUGAAAGGUCUGUGCAAUUGCUGGUUCUCUUGAGGCAUUUUUACACGAUGGAGGAUUCUGCUGCUUCUGUUAGGUGUGAGAGGGAUUGAUUGCUUUUCACAUGCCCAAGUGUGCAUGAGCCUAGGCUUCUUUGUCUUACUGGGUGCCUAGAUGUACAAGUGUGAUACCUUACCUAUGCAUUUUUGUUUUACAGGUCGGUAGCCUUAAAAAUUGAAAGGUGAAUGGGGUUGCUGGUUGUUGUGGUAUGGGUGGAGGGGAUUAGAUUAAUUUUUUUGUCCAUGAAUAUGCUGCCUAGGUUCAUCGAUAAGGGGUUUAACUUUGGUGAAGUGAAAAGGUUUAGGUGCCUUAUUUUUAAAAUGUGGGUUGGAUUAUAGGUGCUUGUGGUCAAGGUUUUGCAAAAUCCCUUGAAAAGGAUUAGAUUGAUUUUUGUGUGCAUGUAUGCUGCUUCAGCUUUGGUGCCUUUUUGGUUUUACUGUCAUCACAUCUCCAUAGACAAAAUAACACUUCAACCACUAAUUCCAGUUUUAUUUAAAAAGCCUAAGCCACUUAUCCAUACUUUGGGAUUGAGUAUAAUUAGGACUCCUGCAUUUGCCAAGUGUGAAAUAUCAAAGUAAUCAAAUGUAUAUAGUCAGAUAAGGCUCUUCAAUUUUUAGUGAGUGGAGUUGCUAGUACUUUCUGGUUGGGUCGUUAAGCUUGAGAGUGCCACAGCUGGCUGUUUUUUCCUGUUGUGUUCUACUAUGGGAAAAAUCCUUCUGAAGUGGAGCCUCAUCCUUGACAGGUUAAUGGGCAUGCUUUCACCAUCGGUACACUUGUAGUUUCAAGAAUUAAUUGUGGUUUUUCUGGGAGUGUUCUGCUGUAGCCUUCCUUAACAUUCAAACUGUAUUUGGGUUACAUGUUUGCAAACUGGUGUAGGAGAUGUCUAGCCAGAGGUUUUCAGCUAUGGCUUCUCCUUCCUUUAUACCUAACUUUACUUUUCAGGUUCUCUAAUCUUUAUCUUCCUAUUUAUUUUAAAACUGUUCCCUGGUUCUGAGAGCAAGAAACCCUUGUGUGGUAAUGUAAUAAAAGACACCAAGUUUGCCUAGGAGCAAUAACCCAUAACCAACCAGCAGGUACAAUUUACUAUUCACCUCUUUAAACACAAAAAUCUUAUUUGUUGCUGUGGGUUACUGCUCCUGGACAAACUUAGUGCCUUUUAUUGCAUA